UUCAUUUGGUGUUGUGGUUUUUUUUAAGUUAGCUGAUAUGUAUGUGUUCUUGUCUCUAACUUAAAAUAGCAUUAAUUGAUGAUGUGUUUUUUGCAACAAAUCAAAGAUCCAGGACGUGUUCUUUUCCACAGUAGGAUGUGCACUUUUAGGAGUGUCAAAGGAAAACUGCUCCGUUUCAGUAAACGUGUUCGACACAUAAUAUAUUCAAAUGAAAUAUAAUGGUGUUUGCAUGAGGCUGUUGUGCAGAUCAAUGUAAGAUUACUUUUGCUGGCCCAGAACCUGAGCGUUCUGUGGCAGCCUGGAAGGUAUCAUGAAUUGUUUUGUAGUGCAGAUGACUUUGACACAUACAUGAGUCCAAAAAAUUGCUUUAGUGGCAUCUUGACUAUGUGUAAAACCACUCUUGUCAAGUGCAGAUAACUGCUGGGUUAUUCAGCUUUAUGUUUUUCACCUGUAUUUCUUCUGUUUGUGAAGUUACUGGUUCAGAAGAAGACCCAGCUGAACAGUAAAAUUGCAUUCUGUUAUUAUGUCUGCUAUAGAAGCAAAAUAUUUUAGUAAAUAAACUAGUCAUUCUAGUUGUGUUUCAUGACAUGAAGUGGAUUAUGUAGUGAUAUAAUAAUGAAAACGUAUGCAGAACCUAUGUAAAUAAACUCAUAUCUACAGUAUUUUUAAAGUUAUGUCUUCCUAUGCUUGGAGGCAGGUGCUUUUAAGCUGGUAAAUUACAAAAAUAAAAAAUCUCCUAUCUCUUCAGAGUAUUCUUGCAAAUCUGUAUGCAUGGUUGUAAAUCAAGUAAGUGCAUAAUGUUGGCAAAUUGUUACAGUUAAAAACUACAUUUGCAAAUUGAGUUCCUUGACUUUAAAGCAAGAUCCUAGACUUGCUUUAAAAUGAACAGGUGCGUUUUGUUUUGUUUUUUGUAGUACUGACAGUUUCCUCAAUUUUGCAAACAUUCAAAGAAAGUAACUUAGAAGUUAGUAUUCUUAACUAUUUCAUUUGAAUUAAGUAUAUGAAGUAUAUAAUACUGAAGGUUGAUGCAGUUUCAGUACAGAAUGGGGAAGAAAAUUAAGCAAGUCAGUAUGUAGAAUUGGUUAUUGUAAGAAGAGGUUCCCACAAUGGUAAUUGUUCUGGCCUGCAGGGUCAGCAGCUACCUAACUAGUCUACUCUCAUGAGAGAUUUAGAAUCUAUAGCUGAUCUUGUUAUCUUUAUAGAUUUAGUCUAGUAAAGUAUUUAGUAGUUCAGCAUGAAAGUUCUAACACUUUAUAUUGAUGUAAAUUACUAUUGAUGUGAACUAUGUGUUGUUGCUAGCUGUGCAUGUUUAUGUUUCUCAUUAAGUCAAUUUACCAUUUCAUCAGAGAAGUAAAAGUGAAUAUUUUUUAGGAAAUACAGGAGAACAAGUUAUUAAACAAAUUUUGGGACUUCUAAGGAAAGAAGGAAGGCUAUAAGCGAUGUUGUAAUAUCAACUGUGAAGACAAGCAGAGGGAACCCUUGCUUCUCUGAAAAGAUUGUUAACUCUCUGAGUUAAAAACAAACAAGCAACAACCCACAGAAACAAACUACUGAUUCUUACCAUGCGGUGUAUCUGUAUUGAACUGCGAUAGUUGCAUGUUGUAAGUUUAGGAAUAAGAGCAGAAUCUGAAAGAAUAAGAUGUUGAGGUGUUUAGUUCCAGACAGAGGCGGUUCUAUUAUCUUGGGCUAUAUAGCAAAAUUAAAAGGAGAAUGAGUCUUCCCUGUUCCAAAGUUAAUCUCUAAAUAGAAUCUCCUCCUGGCAACUUGCUUUUACAGCAAAUGUCACUGAGUGUAGUGGUACUUGAAACACUUUUUUCACAUAUUCGAACAAUGCCUAGUGUGAACUUCAAGGAUUUCUGAAUCUCUCUUUGAUAGUUCCACUUUAAAUCUUGUGGUGGGGAUUGCUUUUACUUUCUUUAAUGUGAUUGAGAUAAAAAAUUGCCCAAAGUAGCGCAUGUUCUUACAAUCUCUUGACUCUUCCAUUCCCAGAAUAGGCCUCAAUGGCAGCCUGGGAACUGCAGCUGUGUUUCUAAGCCUGGCUUUUGAUCAUUAUGUACAAGUAUGUUUCUGUGGUGAACAAUGACAUUAGGAAGCAAUUCUUCUACUCAUGCUACUUUUUAAACAGCAGAUGAUGCGGUUAACUGAAAACUAAAAAUAAAUAAAGAAAGAAAGAAAUCAUGUAAAUGUGUUUUUAUCUUCAAGUUCAGUAGACUCUUCUCACAUACAGGAAAAGUCUUUUUGGAUUCCUGCAUCCAAUGGUUGUUCACCUGUCCUUGCAGAUCACUUCUAUUAAGUGACUUUUCCUUGAGUGUUUAGAUUCUUUAUUCAGUCUCUUCAGAUUCUCUAUUUAGAAAAGAUGUACUUGAAUUUUUUGGAACUAGAUAGAGAUUCCUAAUGAUAAUUGCUUCUUUGCCUUCUCAGUGUGUAUGCUUAAACCUUUUAUGUGUGUUUUCUGUUUGUUCUUCCCAUCUCUUCUAAUACAGAUUUCCUGCAGUGAGUGUACUAUUCUAACAGCUCAGUGGUAGUGUGGCUUCCCCUUGCAUAUGAUUAAAGUGCCAUUCAUGCGUUAAUACAGUACAGGUUCUUGUACGUUGUUAUGUAGAACGUAACUGUUUUACAUGCUGUAAUACUGUGCAAAUAAUGACUGUGUGUGGAAUGAACCUGAUACGGGUAAGGAUGAUACUGGAACAAGCUCAUGUAAAAUUGUUUCAUUUUUUUCUGGUUUUUGAAUUAGUUCAGAGAGUUUGAGGUUGGAAGGGACCAUAGAUCAUUUAAAACUCAUUUGUCUCAUGGGCUUGCUACUCAUGACCUUUAGCAUAUCUACCUGAGUCACUCUGAAAGUAAUGCCUGCUAUUUAUUUCCAUGGAAACUACAACAACUACAAAGAGCACACUGUCAGCUACAAAACACUGUUUUUCAACAUGGUCACCAUUAUAAUCUGUGUUUUCACCAGUAAUGCCUGCAUGAAAAAAAAAAAACAA
Long non-coding RNA from Tympanuchus pallidicinctus (lesser prairie-chicken), 2981 nucleotides. RefSeq lists it as uncharacterized. The transcript has 2 exons. NCBI's taxonomy places the organism in Eukaryota, Metazoa, Chordata, Aves, Galliformes, Phasianidae. The record is from RefSeq and is a predicted model, not a curated record.